UGACUAGAGCAUUCACGCUUAU
RNAcentral lists this microRNA (22 nucleotides) under Brachionus plicatilis. RNAcentral also lists the same sequence under 1 other name. The record is from RNAcentral. Lineage: Eukaryota; Metazoa; Rotifera; Eurotatoria; Ploima; Brachionidae.